CUGUGUGCUGGAAGGGGGAAAACUAUCGUGGCAGCAGAGCAGCAGAAAUAUAAGUGUUGCUCUCUUGGACUCCGUGGCCAGCCGUCUGUCACUUUUACCGCGGACCACUUGUCUGUCAUUAACGCGAAAUGGGAGCGACAGGAUUCAUUUUUUGCACAGUUGCACUGCAUGAAUGUGUCGCGUAAUGCGACCGAGAUGAGCUGCAUUUGGGAGGAAAUAUUCAUGGUUCGGGACGGUUUUGUUGGAGUAGCUUGUUGCUAGCUCUCCGCUAGUCACUGUGCUGGCUAACGUUACUUCCUAACGCAUUGGUUAAGGAUGCUACGCUGGAUACGACAACAGCUGGGCUUUGACCCCCCUCAUCAGAGUGACACCAGGACGGUUUACGUUGCAAACCGUUUCCCCGAGCAUGGCCACUACAUACCGCAACGCUUUGCUGACAACAGAAUCAUCUCUUCCAAGUACACAAUUUGGAAUUUUGUCCCUAAGAAUCUGUUUGAGCAGUUCAGAAGGAUAGCCAACUUCUAUUUUCUUGUUAUCUUCCUUGUACAGUUAAUGAUAGACACCCCAACUUCCCCAGUCACCAGUGGCCUGCCUCUCUUUUUUGUGAUUACAGUGACUGCCAUAAAACAGGGCUACGAGGAUUGGCUUAGACACAAAGCGGACAACGAGGUGAAUGGAGCUCCAGUCUUUGUGGUUCGCAGUGGAAGUCUGGUACAGACAAGAUCCAAGAACAUCAGGGUGGGGGACAUUGUUCGUGUGGCUAAAGAUGAGACGUUCCCAGCUGACCUGGCGUUGCUGUCGUCAGAUCGUGGAGAUGGCACCUGCCACAUCACCACAGCCAGCCUCGACGGAGAGACCAACCUUAAGACUCACUACUCUGUGGCAGAGACAGCAGUGUGUCAGUCAGUGUCCCAACUGGAGUCCCUGCAGGCUGUGGUGGAGUGUCAACAACCAGAAGCCGACCUGUACAGGUUUGUUGGUCGGAUUACGGUGACUCAGCAUGGAGAGGAGAUAGUCAGACCGCUGGGUCCAGAAAAUUUGCUUCUGCGAGGAGCCAGGUUGAAAAACACCAAAGAGAUUUUUGGUGUGGCUGUUUACACAGGAAUGGAGUCCAAGAUGGCCCUCAACUAUAAGUGCAAAUCCCAGAAACGCUCUGCAGUAGAGAAGUCCAUGAACACCUUCCUAAUCAUCUACCUGGGCAUCUUGCUGUUUGAGGCCGUCCUCAGCACAAUCUUAAAGUAUGCCUGGGAAGUUGAGAAAAACUGGAAAGAGCCUUUCUACAACCAAAAGACUGAUCAGGAGAGAAACAGCAGUCCGAUCUUGAAGUUCAUCUCAGACUUCUUGGCGUUUUUGGUCCUCUACAACUUCAUCAUCCCCAUUUCGCUCUACGUUACUGUGGAGAUGCAAAAGUUUCUGGGCUCCUUUUUCAUUGGCUGGGACUUGGACCUUUACCACGAGGAGAGCGACCAGAAAGCUCAGGUCAACACCUCUGACCUCAAUGAGGAGCUGGGCCAGGUGGAGUAUGUGUUUACAGAUAAGACGGGGACGCUGACAGAAAAUGAGAUGCUGUUUCGUGAGUGUUCAAUUAACGGAACCAAGUACCGCGAAGUCAAUGGUAAACUGGUACCAGAAGGAAUGACUGACGAUUCACCCGAUGGUUCUAUGCCUCACCUGAUAGGUGAGGAAUUGUUAUUUCUUAAGGCAGUGUCAUUGUGUCACACGGUUCAUAUCAGCUACGACCAGCCAGACUGCCUGGUUGGAGGAGGAGACCCAUUUUCCCAUUCAAACGGUUUCUCUUCCAAUCACAUGGAAUACUACGCCUCUUCACCGGACGAGAAAGCUUUAGUAGAGGCCACAAAGAGGAUCGGAGUGGCCUUUGCUUGCAGUAGUGGAGAUACCAUGGAGAUCAAAACAUUUGGCAAAUCAGAGAAAUACAAACUGCUCCAUUUGUUAGAGUUUGAUUCUGACCGCAGGAGGAUGAGCGUCAUACUACAGACUCCCUCAGGAGGCCAAGUGCUAUUCACCAAGGGGGCAGAGUCGGCCAUCUUGCCUUUCACUACCAGUGGAGAGAUAGAAAAGACGAGACUGCAUGUUGACGAAUUUGCCUUGAAAGGUCUGCGAACCUUGGUUGUAGCGUGUCGCCACUUCAGCCCAGAGGAGUACAUUGAUGUGGACAGCCAUCUGAACGCUGCCCGCACUGCACUGCAGCAGAGGGAGGAGAGGCUGCAGGAGGCCUUCAGCUACAUUGAGAGAGACCUGCAUCUGCUAGGAGCAACGGGCGUUGAGGACAAGCUCCAAGACAAAGUACAGGAGACCAUUGAGGCUCUGCGGCUGGCGGGGAUCAAAGUAUGGGUGUUGACAGGCGACAAACAUGAGACGGCGGUCAGCGUCAGCCUGUCCUGUGGCCACUUCCACAGGACCAUGAAUAUCCUGGAGCUUCUGCAACAGCGUUCUGAUAACGAGUGUGCUGAGCAGCUCCGCAGAUUGGCCAGGAGGAUAAAAGAGGACCAUGUUAUACAGCACGGUUUGGUUGUGGAUGGGGCCAGUCUUUCCCUAGCGUUGAGGGAACACGAGAAGCUCUUUAUGGAAGUGUGUAAAAACUGCUCAGCUGUGCUGUGCUGCCGCAUGGCCCCACUGCAGAAAGCGAAGGUGGUGCGUCUUUUUAAAACUUCCCCAGAGAAACCCAUCACACUGGCUAUUGGGGAUGGAGCCAAUGAUGUCAGUAUGAUACAGGAAGCUCACGUUGGCAUAGGUAUCAUGGGUAAGGAGGGUCGUCAGGCCGUGAGAAACAGUGACUAUGCAAUUGCCAGAUUUAAGUUCCUGGCUAAACUUCUGCUGGUCCACGGUCACUUCUACUACAUUCGAAUAGCUACGCUUGUACAGUACUUUUUCUACAAGAAUGUGUGUUUUAUCACGCCUCAGUUUUUAUACCAGUUCUUCUGUCUGUUUUCGCAACAAACUCUCUACGACAGUGUUUAUCUAACAUUGUACAACAUCUGCUUCACCUCGCUGCCCAUCCUCGUGUACAGUCUGUUUGAACAGCUGGUCCAUCCACACGUACUGCAGAACAAACCUGGCCUGUACAGGGACAUCAGCAAGAACUCCCUGCUGUCUUUCCGAACGUUCCUGUACUGGACUCUGUUGGGCUUCUGUCACGCCUUCAUCUUCUUUUUCGGAUCCUACAUACUGAUGGGAGAGGACACCACUCUUAUGGGCAAUGGACAGAUCUUGCGAGCUAACAGGCAGCUGAUGUUUGGGAACUGGACGUUUGGAACGCUGGUCUUUACUGUCAUGGUCAUCACAGUCACAUUAAAGCUUGCUUUAGAGACUCAUUUCUGGACUUGGAUGAACCAUUUUGUGACGUGGGGUUCGAUUGGCUUCUACUUCAUUUUCUCCCUCUUUUAUGGAGGCAUCAUCUGGCCGUUCCUCCACACCCAGGACAUGUACUUUGUAUUUGUACACCUGCUGUCUAGCGGUUCAGCCUGGUUUGCCAUCAUCAUCAUCGUCAUAACUUGCCUCUUUCCUGAUGUGUUUAAAAAGAUCUUCUAUCGACAUCUGCAGCCCACUGGCACACAGAAGAGUCAGAUGGAAGAGGGUGAGGGUUCAGUCGGCCCAGAAUAUGACCCUGUUAAAGCCCAGCGGAGCCCAGGGGAGGACAAUUGGCACCUGCUAGCUGCUUAUCCUCCCCCUGCUGUUCCCGGCCCAGACCCCUGCUCCCCUAGUCUCUCUCAGCCCCCCAAUCGCAGACCCUCAGCUGUGUGGAGUCCAUGUGCUGCUACCAACAUGGGCAGAGCGGCUGUUCCCGCCUGGCCAGCCUCCUGGAGCAAAUGACCAGGCAGUGUCAGGCCAGCACCAAUCAUUGCCACACAUCCAGCCGCAGCAACAGGUCUUGGAGCGACACGGAGAACUCUUAUUCCAACGAUCGAAGCAUCCUGACCCUGUCGCCCAUCGAGGCCACCCACUGUUGACUCCCAGGGCCACUGACUCUAACAUGCAGAGCUGGGGGAGAGCUUCCACUCCACAUAAUCACCCCGACCCCCUGCCACCAUUUUAGAAACCUACUUCAAUUUAAGCUCAAUAUAUUCUCAGCUGGAUGCAACGCUGACGCAUCAUGUGAAACCAAAGGAUUCGGCUCGGUGCAAGCAGGCUGCUUCUCCUUCAACAGUUAGUUUUUCCCGAGUGAAUGCAUUUCUAGUAGAAAGUUUAAGAAAGACGUCA
RNA transcript from Etheostoma cragini (Arkansas darter), 4218 nucleotides. It is a transcript of the gene named ATPase phospholipid transporting 11B (putative), with no coding region annotated. The record is from RefSeq and is a predicted model, not a curated record. The transcript is spliced from 32 exons. Lineage: Eukaryota; Metazoa; Chordata; Actinopteri; Perciformes; Percidae.